Small nucleolar RNA from Electrophorus electricus (electric eel), 136 nucleotides. The record is from Ensembl. NCBI's taxonomy places the organism in Eukaryota, Metazoa, Chordata, Actinopteri, Gymnotiformes, Gymnotidae.
AUUUUAUGAUGAUCACCAUGCGUGUCAACUGAUUCCAGACUUUUCUGCAUUGCUUGGUGGCUGGUGAGCGUUCUGCUAAUCAGUGUACCUAGCGUGUAGGGUUCUGGUUGCAUGAUCAAUUUAGAAGUCUGAAAAU